Molecule: transfer RNA, 83 nt
Rfam family: tRNA
About the family: Transfer RNA (tRNA) molecules are approximately 80 nucleotides in length. Their secondary structure includes four short double-helical elements and three loops (D, anti-codon, and T loops). Further hydrogen bonds mediate the characteristic L-shaped molecular structure. tRNAs have two regions of fundamental functional importance: the anti-codon, which is responsible for specific mRNA codon recognition, and the 3' end, to which the tRNAs corresponding amino acid is attached (by aminoacyl-tRNA synthetases). tRNAs cope with the degeneracy of the genetic code in two manners: having more than one tRNA (with a specific anti-codon) for a particular amino acid; and 'wobble' base-pairing, i.e. permitting non-standard base-pairing at the 3rd anti-codon position.
Source: Rfam
GGCCGGUUGGCCCAAUGGCAAGGCGUCUGACUACGAUUCAUCGAGUCAUCAGGAGAUUCUGGGUUCGACCCCCAGGCUGGUCA